GUACCUGCAUAAAACGUCCUCGCUAACUACCUGCCUUUAGCCGCGGUAUUACGUACGGCGCAAGCGUUAUCCGGAAUUAUUGGGCGUAAAUACCUCGUAUGCGGUUUGUCUCGUCUGCUGUGAAAUCCGGAGGCUCAACCUCCGGCCUGCAGUGGGUACGGGCAGACUUGAUUGCGGUAGGGGAGAUUGGAAUUCCUGGUGUAGCGGUGGAAUGCGCAGAUUCAGGAGGAACACCGAUGGCGAAGGCAUAUCUCUGGGCCGCAACUGACCCUGAGGAGCGAAAGGGUGGGGAGCAAA
Molecule: ribosomal RNA, 297 nt
Filed under: uncultured bacterium
Lineage: Bacteria
Description: partial 16S ribosomal RNA
Rfam family: Bacterial small subunit ribosomal RNA
Source: RNAcentral